RNAcentral lists this ribosomal RNA (274 nucleotides) under uncultured bacterium. Its description in RNAcentral is "partial 16S ribosomal RNA". It matches the Rfam family "Bacterial small subunit ribosomal RNA", at positions 523 to 796 of the family's 1533-position model. The record is from RNAcentral.
AUACGGAGGGUGCAAGCGUUGUUCGGAAUCACUGGGCGUAAAGGGCGCGCAGGCGGUUUGGUAAGUCAGAUGUUAAAGCCCACGGCUCAACCGUUGAAGUGCAUUUGAAACUGUCAGACUUGAGUACUAGAGGGGAAAGUGGAAUUCCCGGUGUAGAGGUGAAAUUCGUAGAUAUCGGGAGGAAUACCGGUGGCGAAGGCGACUUUCUGGCUAGAUACUGACGCUGAGGCGCGAAAGCGUGGGGAGCAAACAGGAUUAGAUACCCUAGUAGUCC